Molecule: ribosomal RNA, 448 nt
Filed under: uncultured bacterium
Lineage: Bacteria
Description: bacterial SSU rRNA
Rfam family: Bacterial small subunit ribosomal RNA
Source: RNAcentral
CCAGACUCCUACGGGAGGCAGCAGUGGGGAAUUUUGCGCAAUGGGGGAAACCCUGACGCAACAACGCCGCGUGCGGGACGAAGGCCUUCGGGUUGUAAACCGCUUUCAGCAGGGACGAAUUCCGACGGUACCUGCAGAAGAAGCCCCGGCUAACUACGUGCCAGCAGCCGCGGUAAUACGGAGGGUGCGAGCGUUAAUCGGAAUUACUGGGCGUAAAGCGCUCGUAGGCGGUAUGUCAAGUCAAGGGUGAAAUCCCCGCGCUCAACGUGGGAACUGCCUUUGAAACUGGCAAACUGGAGUGUGUGAGAGGAUAGUGGAAUUCCAGGUGUAGGAGUGAAAUCCGUAGAUAUCUGGAGGAACAUCAGUGGCGAAGGCGACUAUCUGGCACAUAACUGACGCUGAGGAGCGAAAGCGUGGGUAGCAAACAGGAUUAGAUACCCGUGUAGAA